Molecule: ribosomal RNA, 497 nt
Filed under: uncultured bacterium
Lineage: Bacteria
Description: partial 16S ribosomal RNA
Rfam family: Bacterial small subunit ribosomal RNA
Source: RNAcentral
GAUGAACGCUGGCGGCGUGCCUAAUACAUGCAAGUCGAGCGAACGGACGAGAAGCUUGCUUCUCUGAUGUUAGCGGCGGACGGGUGAGUAACACGUGGAUAACCUACCUAUAAGACUGGGAUAACUUCGGGAAACCGGAGCUAAUACCGGAUGAUAUUUUGAACCGCAUGGUUCAAAAGUGAAAGACGGUCUUGCUGUCACUUAUAGAUGGAUCCGCGCUGCAUUAGCUAGUUGGUAAGGUAACGGCUUACCAAGGCAACGAUGCAUAGCCGACCUGAGAGGGUGAUAGGCCACACUGGAACUGAGACACGGUCCAGACUCCUACGGGAGGCAGCAGUAGGGAAUCUUCCGCAAUGGGCGAAAGCAUGACGGAGCAACGCCGCGUGAGUGAUGAAGGUCUUCGGAUCGUAAAACUCUGUUAUUAGGGAAGAACAUAUGUGUAAGUAACUGUGCACAUCUUGACGGUACCUAAUCAGAAAGCCACGGCUAACUACGUG